GGGGCUGGGGCUCAGUGGUAGAGCACUUGUCUGGCAUGCGUGAGGCACUGGGUUUGAUUCUCAGCACCGCUU
This is a non-coding RNA of Ictidomys tridecemlineatus (thirteen-lined ground squirrel), 72 nucleotides long. The record is from Rfam. Lineage: Eukaryota; Metazoa; Chordata; Mammalia; Rodentia; Sciuridae.